CAACUCCCAACAUUCCAGGAAGUUACCCAGUCUUUGAGCAGACAUGAACGACAACAUCUACUUCACUCACCAUCAUUUAACAGUAAAACAAGAAACUUGUAAGAGUUUCUAAUGGAAGGGCAGGAUUUAUAAGCUACCACUAAUACGGAAAUUCUCUAUGAGAAUAUGAAAAAAUGUGUGUUUAUAUUCAUUGGUGUGUAUACUCAGCCUUCUGAUAUCAGAAUGAGUUUGAAUCUUCUUCAUCUAAAGUUGAGAUGGACGACGGUUUGAUGUGACUGGAGACGUAACAAGGCCACCUCUCUCACGGCGCCAACACCUGCCUGCAUUUGUGUAUCAGGACUCAGUGACUCAGGAUAUUGUUGAGAGAAUUGAAGUCCCAGAAUUUUAACGGUUUCUACACUCCGUAGAUCAGCAGCAGAACCAACCUUUACAGCACUGAUUGCUUCGUACAGGACACAGGUGUCUUUAAGCAAGUCUUUAGAUGACUGGAAGCAGUUACUGUCCUAGAAGACUGACAAGUCCAGCUUUGUUGACGAACCACUGGGGCUACUACCAGGCAUUUAGCGCCCACCUCUGAGUCAUGGUGACGUGGGCUCGGGUGUUUGGAAACCACUUCCUACCCUCAACUGCCCGCUAAGCCCAAGUCACUGACUUCUGACUGGACUUUCCAUACGGUUACCUCACAGCGAUACAUCGACCUGUUGUGUGAGCCGAGUUAACAGGAGGACGGACUGGAAGAGGAAAGAACACGAAAGCAAGUUCUGGGUCUGAAGAAUUCAGAAGAUUCAGGCUGCAGAAGAUAUUUCCCGUGGCAGUACACUUUCAGCGCUUGCCUGCUCUUGAGAAGUUCCAGAAAUAAUACAGAUGAGCCCUAUCCAGUGAGCCAGAGACCAGAAAGAACAAGCCCAGGCCACCUCCCUGAGCAAGAGGGAAACCCUUGACACACUGCUCCUGGGCACCCUGACAGCCUGAGGACUGAAGUCACAUGCUUCUCGUCUGAGUCUAAACCUCACUGAACCACUCUGAAGAUUCUAGAAGCACUAUUGGCAGCUUGCAAUACUGUUAGUUGGUGUCACAUAUAUAUUACGAGCAUACAUGCCUACUGGUUCUGUUUCUCUGGAGACCACGGUUCCUCCCCAAACCCCAUCUUCCCAGAUAUCAGCCAAGGCUCAACCUUGCAAGUUGAUUUUGCAUGAAUAGCAGCAACCAUGAGAGAAGUCUCCCUCUGCCCCACCAGUUGACUGUUUCCUGCACAUUACUGACUUUCACUCUAGUAGAAGUCACGUGGUCAUUAAACCAGGGAGCAGUCGAGCCCACCAACAAUCAUGAUGUUGAAGAAAAGGCACAGGAAGAGAACUUGUGUUGGGGUUGAGGCAGCAGGCACAGACCCCAGACUACUGGCUUUCCUGAAGUAACGGGACAUUCACUGAAGACUCAGGAGUGUCAUGGUUGAUGAGGAGACUGGAGAAGCCUAGAAACUCUUGCCAUUCCUCACAGGAAGAUGUAGGGUUGAUUUCCUGUAUUCCUAGAGUUGGGCUGGUACCUGUUUACUGUCGCUAACAGACUACAGCCAGUGUGGCACUGUGGGCAUCUAGAAAGAAGC
Molecule: small RNA, 1603 nt
Filed under: Rattus norvegicus (Norway rat)
Lineage: Eukaryota; Metazoa; Chordata; Mammalia; Rodentia; Muridae
Description: uncharacterized LOC102547506
Source: RNAcentral